Molecule: long non-coding RNA, 827 nt
Organism: Passer domesticus (house sparrow)
Lineage: Eukaryota; Metazoa; Chordata; Aves; Passeriformes; Passeridae
Exons: 8
Source: RefSeq, a predicted model, not a curated record
CUGCAGGAAGGGAGAUUUGCAGGGAGGCAUGCAGGAUAAAGGGUUGGGUUUAGACCAACAGUGUUUGAGGUACGACUGGAUUUACAGUGCUCUCCAAGAACUGUGGGUGAUUUUCUAAUAAUCUGUGUUAAUAAGGAGUGUGAAGGAUGCUGGUUAUUGAGCUGCCUGCUGCAAGUUGUUUGGAAGAGGAAAUACACCAUGAGAAGGAGUUAGUGCAGGGUCACACUCUGAGAUCUGAUGGAGAAUUAGUUAGCUGAAACAGAUCAAUCUGUGGAAAAGGUCACUGGGGAAAGAGGAAAAUGAGCUGUCUUUAUAGCUGUAUUAUUUAUACUUCCCAUUGAAACAUUGAGGAAGGCUGAAAGAACCUUGCUCUUCACUGUGGAGGUCAUUCAGGAAGUUCUGUGUGUCCUUAGUGUGCAAUCAGUAUCAGGACCAAGAAGUUAAAAGAUAAGGAAAAACCCCAAUCUAAGAGAUCAAGUGUUCUUCAAGCCCAUGAGAAAUACCCAACUCACGGGAUGCAAACCAAGUUAUAAUUAAAGGACAAAGUGACAUGUGGCAUGGCACUGAUCUAGUAGCUGGAAAGUCCUGCUCUGAGGAGUUUUUGUAUUGCUGCAGAUGAAGAGCACUCUCCAUAGAAUAUCAGUGUGCUCUCAGCUCAAGGAGCAGAUGCCAGGAUGAUUCUCAGCCCUUGCAGACAGCACCUGUGGAUGUGUGUACUUGGGAGAAAAGGUCUUGUUCACGUUGCAGAAAAUUCAGGCUUGGAAAGUCCUAUGGAUUACAGUUCAGCUCAGGAUGAAAAUGAAGAAUUAUCAUUGCACAGCAAAGGG